UUUCCUCCGAGGGGCUGCUGGUGGUUUCAAACCUUUGGCCUUUCAGUUAGCAGUCUAGUGCUUUUACCACUGCACUACCGGGGGUUUGAAGAGAGAGUUCAAGGCCCGUGGAUGGUGUGAGACUGGUAGCGGCUCCUGGUGUAUGGGGCUGGGUCUUCCCAGAGUCGGGGUGCUUGGGAACGCAGCCCAAAGCGGGUGGUAAACUCCAUGUAAGGCUAAGAACCGGCACGAGACCCAUAGUCAACAAGUACCCUAAGG
This is a ribosomal RNA of Loxodonta africana (African savanna elephant), 258 nucleotides long. It matches the Rfam family "Eukaryotic large subunit ribosomal RNA", at positions 106 to 358 of the family's 3401-position model. The record is from Rfam. Lineage: Eukaryota; Metazoa; Chordata; Mammalia; Proboscidea; Elephantidae.